This is a long non-coding RNA of Aedes aegypti (yellow fever mosquito), 410 nucleotides long. RefSeq lists it as uncharacterized. The transcript has 2 exons. NCBI's taxonomy places the organism in Eukaryota, Metazoa, Arthropoda, Insecta, Diptera, Culicidae. The record is from RefSeq and is a predicted model, not a curated record.
CAUCGACUCUGACCACUAUUUGCACGCUAACUUGAAAGUACCCAUUAAAUGAGUACCAUGUACUCUUUUUUAUUGCCAAUACGAAGCUGUCAAAAAAAGGGUACAUUUCCCAAAACAAUAAAUGGGUAUUUUGUACUCUUAAUGAACAUCGCUUAGCGCAAAUAAAGAUGGGUAAUAUCAGCGACCAUUUUUUAUUUGUCAAGUGCUUUGAAUUGAAGAAGUUUAUCAAACUUUACGUUUUAAAAGGUGUUCUACAACAGUGAAACAUUGAACAAAUCAUGGAGAUGCAGCAAAAACCGGAGUCUGGAACAAGCGCACUGUUCGCAGGAGGAGGACACAAAAUUUCUCAACUAUUUCCAGACGCCAUGGUAGUUUGUUUAUUAAUUGAAAUAUACUAGUUGAAGUCUUCA